UUCUCUAAAGUUAUUAACAUUAGAUUGCAAAUCUAACCACUAGCGAGAAU
This 50-nucleotide transfer RNA is filed under the name Histiostoma blomquisti. RNAcentral describes it as "tRNA-Cys". Lineage: Eukaryota; Metazoa; Arthropoda; Arachnida; Sarcoptiformes; Histiostomatidae. The record is from RNAcentral.